Clupea harengus (Atlantic herring) is the source of this 1138-nucleotide long non-coding RNA. NCBI's taxonomy places the organism in Eukaryota, Metazoa, Chordata, Actinopteri, Clupeiformes, Clupeidae. The record is from Ensembl.
ACACACACACACACACACACACACAUACACACCCCAGUCACAGCACACACACACACACACAUACACACCCCAGUCACAGUACACACACACCCCCCAGUCACAGUACACAUACACACCCCAGUCACAGCACACACACACACACCCCAGUCACAGCACACACACACACACCCCAGUCACAGUACACACACACACACACCCCAGUCACAGUACACACACACACACACACAUACACACCCCAGUCACAGCACACACACACACACACCCCAGUCACAGCACACACACACACACCCCAUCCACAGCACACACAUACACACCCCAGUCACAGUACACACACACACACCCCAGUCACAGUACACACACAUACACACCCCAGUCACAGUACACACACACACACACCCCAGUCACAGUACACACACACACCCACACACCAGUCACACACACAUACACACCCCAGUCACAGUACACACCCCAGUCACAGUACACACACACACACACCCCAGUCACAGUACACACACACACACACACACACCCCAGUCACAGUACACACACAUACACACCCCAGUCACAGCACACACACAUACACACACUCCAGUCACAGUACACACAUACACACACCCCAGUCACAGUACACACACACACCCCAGUCACAGUACACACACAUACACACCCCAGUCACAGUACACACACAUACACACCCCAGUCACAGUACACACACAUACACACCCCAGUCACAGUACACACACACACACACCCAGUCACAGUACACACACACACACACCCCAGUCACAGUACACACACACACACACCCCAGUCACAGUACACACACAUACACACCCCAGUCACAGUACAAACACACACACACCCCAGUCACAGUACACACACACAUACACACCCCAGUCACAGUACACACACAUACACACCCCAGUCACAGUACACACACACAUACACACCCCAGUCACACACACAUACACACCCCAGUCACAGUACACACCCCAGUCACAGUACACACACACACACACACCCCAGUCACAGUACACACACACACACACCCCAGUCACAGUACACACACAUACACACCCCAGUCACAGCACACACACAUACACACACCCCAGUCACAGCACACACACAUACACACCCC